AUGAGGUCAAACAUCCAGGUCUUCAAAUAUCUGUUGCUCUGGGUCUCUGAUGUCUGCAGUGACAUUGUUAUGACCCAGUCUACAGCCUCCCUGACAGGGCCAGCUAGAGAGAGCACCACCAUCUACUGCAAGUUCAGCCAGAGUCUUCUAUACAGUGUUGUUGAUGAGAACCUGUUAUCAUGGUACCAGCAAAAACCAGGAGAACCUCCCAGACUACACAUCUACUGGGCAUCAAGCAAGGAAUCUGGUGUCCCAGACAGGUUCAGUGGCAGUGGGCCUGGCAUGGAUUUCACUCUCACCAUUACCAGCAUUCAAGGUGAAGAUGUGGUGGAUUAUUACUGUCUGUGGACUUUUAGUACUCCUCCCACAGUGUUUCAGCCUGGAACACAAACUUCCUCUCACUGUCUCCCCAUCUGCUUUCUCCCUACAAGGCCCAGGGCUUGAACACUUCCUUUUGCUGUCUGCUAGACUGUGUUCCCCUGAUACAAGAGGAAGUCUGCAGGGCUGAACAGAACAUAAAGGAGCUCACUGUUUGCUAGAUAUUUUGCUAUAGGAAAAUCCAGCCAAAAUAUUUGUAUUGAUGUUUUAUUGUUUUAUGAUAGUUUAGAAACUCACAUCUAUAAAAUGUGGAAUUCAUCAAUUUAUAGUUGCAUAAGAUAAAAUCCAACACCAGAUUCAAAAGCUGAAAUUAACAUAUUGUCAGCUUCCCAUUUGUACAUUGUAGGACAGAAUCUGUCUCUUCCCUUUCCUGUAUCUUGAGUUUUUUUCCUUCCUUGACUUGUGGCCUUUUCCCUCAUCACCAGAACAAGCAGUAUUUCAUUUUCUAAUGCUUGUUCCACUGUGACCUUUCUCUCUGAAUAUCCCUUUCUGCUUUUCAAACGUAAAUUAGGAAAUGUGUGCAUACCUCUAAUGAUGAACAUAAUUUUGCAUUUAUUAGCACACUCCCUUCAG
Molecule: non-coding RNA, 951 nt
Organism: Cavia porcellus (domestic guinea pig)
Lineage: Eukaryota; Metazoa; Chordata; Mammalia; Rodentia; Caviidae
Source: the annotation of a RefSeq genome assembly